UUCGCUGCAACAAUCUCAGAGCUCUUUCUCUGUUCUGUGGGUGAUGCAUGGUUAUUGCUAAUUAGUGGCUCAGUUGGUAGAGGCUCAUUUACCAACUGGAAGAUCAGUGUAUCGAUCACUGGCUCCUGUAGUCUGCGUGCCAAAGUAUCCUCGGUUUCAGGAGUCAGUACAGCUACAAAGCUUUUUGGCUACGUUCACACUGCAGGCAAAAGCUCAUCAAAUCCGACUUUUUUGACCCUAUGCGACCCAUAUCCGAUCAUGAAAGCAACUGCUGUUUGAACGGUCAUGUCGCUGACACAAGACAGACGCCAAUUAUCAGCGCCGGAGAAGACAUCGCGAACGCUUCCUGGCCAUCCAGUGUAGAUGUCAGUGAAACUGUUGGGAAGACAACGUUGGAGAAACGUGAACAUUUUAUUUGUACUGUAUAAUCUGCAGAUUCUGACAGAAAUCUGCAACUAUCCUUUGAAGCACCGCUUCUCUAAAACAGCAACAAGGAUCAUUAUUAGGACAUAUGUAAAUAACAAAAUAACUUUAUAAAAAGCAAAAUUGGGAAACAAAGUCCGAGGCAAGUCUUUAUACUAAGGGCCAUCAAUCAAACAGCACUGUUUGGUCUGGGUCUAAACAGAGCACGUUGUGUGUGAAUUGAAGAAAGGCAUACACAAAGCUCUUCCUCCACAGCUCUUAAUCUCUCCCUGAUUUUUAGUUUUUGUGGCAGCCAUGUUCGAAAAGCUUUGCUCACAUAUGUUGUGGAAAAUGGGAGCAAUGUCAAAAUGUCUCUGUUUGCCAGAAUGGGGAACUCCUUGGCAGCAGUCAACCAAAAACUGUCCAAAGAUAGAUCAGCAAAGCUCAGCUUUAAACCACGGUCUUGUCUCAGUUCAGUUAGUUCCUCCUGUUCCUGAAAAGUCAUAUCCUUUCCGAAAACUGCUGCUGAGCUAUAUGGGUCCCUUACCCAGUCAAGGCAUUCAGUGGAGACUGAGGGGAAAUAAAUGGACAACUUCUCCUCAAGCGUUUUCAAAUGUUUACCUAUUAUUUCACACAGUGUGGCAGUUUUGAUAUCUCCUUGCCAUUUCUGAGUGAGUGGGGACAUGCCAAGGUUGGCAUUUUCCAGAUGUUGUUGCCAGAGAUGCACCUUUGAACGUAAUCCAUUUAUUUUAUCUGUGCUUGUGAGCAGUACCAAUCGGACUGAUGAAACAAAGAGCAAUUUCUAGAAUGGAAAGAAAUGAGCAGUUCACUUUUAAAUGAUCCACAUUUAUUUUUUCUACAUGCAGCCUGGGUGGGGUGAUUUUGAGGACCCAAAAUGCAGACAAGAAAUACAGGCAGUAGUUUAAAAAUAGGUAAUUUAUUUGGCUGUGAAAAAUGAGAUGCAAACAAAGACUGCGUGAAAGGAGGGAAUUUAAGACUAAAUACAAAUGAGAUAAAAUCAAUGCAAAGGAGAUAAGAAGAUAAAUAUACAGAAUGUGAGAAACAAUAACUAAAUGGGGAAACACAGAAACAGGAAUGAACUUCAAUUUUAACAAAUAACUAGAGAAUGGAACAAACACAGGGAACAGAAUGCAACCAGGAACUAACAACUCGAGGCUAAAUAAAGUAAGGCAGCCAUUCAUAAAGUCAAGAGUGCUGCUGUCCACUUAAAAACCAGAAAAUGACAAUAUUCUUCACUUGAAUCAAACUACAAAAGAAAGUGACAUUGAUUUUAAAACUGUAUUUAAAAAAAAUCAUCAACAACAGAGGCUGCUGGCUCUAAAUUGCUGCCCAGUCAUGUGCAAAGUGUUAAUGCUGAUGAUGUGACCAACCUGCCGCUGGGACACAAAAUUUCAAUACAAGGGCAAUAAAUCUGGUCCAGGGUAAUGAGUAAUAUUACACACUAACCACCUCCUAUUACCAAUUUUAUUUUGCCAAAUCCGUUUAUACAUGUGUGUAACUCUGUAUUUCUGUUACUACUGUGGCCCACCUGUAGUACAUUUGCAGUCCACAAGGGGUCGUUGGCCCACACUAUGGGAAUAACGCAGUAAGGAAAUACAUGGAGAAGCAAAUAUAAACAAUAAGCAAAUAAAGAAUGAAAAAAAAGUUUAAAUAAAGAAAACUUGUAUGAUGAUGGUGAGGGACAUGAUGGGCUGGCAGAGCAACAGUUUCCAUUAAAGACUCGGACAGAAACCUGCAAAAGCACACUGAUGGUAAACAACAU
Long non-coding RNA from Oreochromis aureus, 2185 nucleotides. NCBI's taxonomy places the organism in Eukaryota, Metazoa, Chordata, Actinopteri, Cichliformes, Cichlidae. The record is from Ensembl.